This 1501-nucleotide ribosomal RNA is filed under the name Klebsiella sp. ok1_1_9_S1. Its description in RNAcentral is "bacterial SSU rRNA". It matches the Rfam family "Bacterial small subunit ribosomal RNA". The record is from RNAcentral. RNAcentral also lists the same sequence under 1 other name. Lineage: Bacteria; Pseudomonadati; Pseudomonadota; Gammaproteobacteria; Enterobacterales; Enterobacteriaceae.
GAACGCUGGCGGCAGGCCUAACACAUGCAAGUCGAGCGGUAGCACAGAGAGCUUGCUCUCGGGUGACGAGCGGCGGACGGGUGAGUAAUGUCUGGGAAACUGCCUGAUGGAGGGGGAUAACUACUGGAAACGGUAGCUAAUACCGCAUAAUGUCGCAAGACCAAAGUGGGGGACCUUCGGGCCUCAUGCCAUCAGAUGUGCCCAGAUGGGAUUAGCUAGUAGGUGGGGUAACGGCUCACCUAGGCGACGAUCCCUAGCUGGUCUGAGAGGAUGACCAGCCACACUGGAACUGAGACACGGUCCAGACUCCUACGGGAGGCAGCAGUGGGGAAUAUUGCACAAUGGGCGCAAGCCUGAUGCAGCCAUGCCGCGUGUGUGAAGAAGGCCUUCGGGUUGUAAAGCACUUUCAGCGGGGAGGAAGGCGGUAAGGUUAAUAACCUCAUCGAUUGACGUUACCCGCAGAAGAAGCACCGGCUAACUCCGUGCCAGCAGCCGCGGUAAUACGGAGGGUGCAAGCGUUAAUCGGAAUUACUGGGCGUAAAGCGCACGCAGGCGGUCUGUCAAGUCGGAUGUGAAAUCCCCGGGCUCAACCUGGGAACUGCAUUCGAAACUGGCAGGCUAGAGUCUUGUAGAGGGGGGUAGAAUUCCAGGUGUAGCGGUGAAAUGCGUAGAGAUCUGGAGGAAUACCGGUGGCGAAGGCGGCCCCCUGGACAAAGACUGACGCUCAGGUGCGAAAGCGUGGGGAGCAAACAGGAUUAGAUACCCUGGUAGUCCACGCCGUAAACGAUGUCGAUUUGGAGGUUGUGCCCUUGAGGCGUGGCUUCCGGAGCUAACGCGUUAAAUCGACCGCCUGGGGAGUACGGCCGCAAGGUUAAAACUCAAAUGAAUUGACGGGGGCCCGCACAAGCGGUGGAGCAUGUGGUUUAAUUCGAUGCAACGCGAAGAACCUUACCUGGUCUUGACAUCCACAGAACUUUCCAGAGAUGGAUUGGUGCCUUCGGGAACUGUGAGACAGGUGCUGCAUGGCUGUCGUCAGCUCGUGUUGUGAAAUGUUGGGUUAAGUCCCGCAACGAGCGCAACCCUUAUCCUUUGUUGCCAGCGGUCCGGCCGGGAACUCAAAGGAGACUGCCAGUGAUAAACUGGAGGAAGGUGGGGAUGACGUCAAGUCAUCAUGGCCCUUACGACCAGGGCUACACACGUGCUACAAUGGCAUAUACAAAGAGAAGCGACCUCGCGAGAGCAAGCGGACCUCAUAAAGUAUGUCGUAGUCCGGAUUGGAGUCUGCAACUCGACUCCAUGAAGUCGGAAUCGCUAGUAAUCGUAGAUCAGAAUGCUACGGUGAAUACGUUCCCGGGCCUUGUACACACCGCCCGUCACACCAUGGGAGUGGGUUGCAAAAGAAGUAGGUAGCUUAACCUUCGGGAGGGCGCUUACCACUUUGUGAUUCAUGACUGGGGUGAAGUCGUAACAAGGUAACCGUAGGGGAACCUGCGGCUGGAUC